UCCAUGAAAUAAAACACCAGGAAGAAAAACCAUUUCCUUCUUCAUCUAUCCGGAUCUAUUUGUAUCAUAAUGUUCGAUCUAAAACCAUUUUCUUCAAUCUUAACUCAAACAAUUCUUCUUCAACCAUUUUGUUUUUCAUCUCUGCUGUUUGAGUGGUAUUAAUUGCUCUUCUUAUUGGAACCAAAUUUAGGCUUUGAAAAUUAGGAGUUUUUGGAAGACGAAUAAUCAGCCUUGGUUGGAUCUCUCGAACUUCUUCAGGUGGUGUCCAUUAAGGUCAUUCGAAGUAAUCAAUCCGGUCAGUCAGAAGGAUAUGGGUUUGUUGAGUUCUGUACACAUGCAGCAGCUGAGGAAGUUUUGCAGACUUAUAAUGGCUCAGCAAUGCAGAAUAACAUUUUACAGAAAUGAAUGGUGUUUAUUUUUCUAGUAGGCCGAUACGUGUAUGGGUUGCAACCCCAAGGAAACCAACAUGGUUCCAGCAAAUGUCAUCUCGAGUCUGUCUUGGAGACGCUUUCCAUGGUAAAUAUGGGCAGGAGGUUUGACAAAUUAUCAAUGAGCUGAUGGUCAAGACCUGGAUGACGAUUUGUGAAUACCUUAAUGUUAAGGCUGAGGCUCAGGGUGUUGAUCCAAGAAUUAGGGCUGAGGCUCCAUUUCUCUUUGGAGUUUGUGACCUGAGUUGACUAAAGAAGAAAGAGAGAUCAGCUAAAGGCAAAAGCGGUUGAAUGGUCUCUUUACCCUAUUUCUUGCUGUGAUUGGAGGAUAAAUCCACAAGAAUUCAAACUCAAUGCAGGAAGGUUUUGAUGAAUAAAGAAUUAGCUGAAGCUACUUAGAAGGGUGUCACUGCAUGUGACUGCGAGAUUGUUGAAGGGGUGCUCAGCCAUUAACUCAACCAGUUUGUGAUAAAUGGAAACUGUUGGAUACAUGUAAAGGUUUUGCUUCUUUUUCGCUUGUUCUGACGCACGAGAGUGGCGCCCACCUGAGUUAUUUCAUUAGGGAUGGAACUUCUCUUUUUCAACAGAGUGACAUAGUAAUUGAUUUAUUUUCUUUUCCUUGUAGCACUCCUCUUUAAGAAACCUUGAACUUAUCCUUUUAGAACUUAUAAUGGUGUGAAUUCAA
Molecule: long non-coding RNA, 1113 nt
Organism: Papaver somniferum (opium poppy)
Lineage: Eukaryota; Viridiplantae; Streptophyta; Magnoliopsida; Ranunculales; Papaveraceae
Exons: 7
Source: RefSeq, a predicted model, not a curated record